Molecule: long non-coding RNA, 3132 nt
Filed under: Salmo salar (Atlantic salmon)
Lineage: Eukaryota; Metazoa; Chordata; Actinopteri; Salmoniformes; Salmonidae
Description: lncRNA (ENSSSAG00000089901.1)
Source: RNAcentral
UCUAAAACUGUUUGAAUGAUGUCUGUGAGUAUAACAGAACUCAUAUGGCAAGCAAAAACCUGAGAGAAAUCCUACCAGGAAGUGGAAAUCUGGAUGCAUGGGCUCUCUUCAAGUCGUUUCCUAUUGAACACACAGUGACGUAGUAAUAAUUGUGCACUUCCUACGGCUUCCACUGGAUGUCAACAGUCUUUACAAAGUUGUUUGAGGCGUCUAUGACGAACAGAGACCGAAUGAGAAGGUGGGGAAGUUGGUCACCCAGGGAAUGACAUCACUUCAUUGGUGCGCGUUCACGAGGGUGGAUCCUCUGUUACAAAACGUUUUUCAAGACACAGGAACCGUCCGGUUGAAAUAUUACUGAAUCUUCACGUUCUAAAGGCCCUAAAGAUUGAUGUUUUACAACGUUUGACAUGUUUGAACGAACGUAAAUACAACUUUUUUUUACUUUUCGUCGUGACAUUGUCCGCGCGCUUCCUACAUUUGGAGUAGCUGAACUGAACGUGCGAACAACAAGGAGUUAUUUGGACAUAAAUUAUGAACUUUAUCGAACAAAACAACAUUUAUUGUGGACCUGGUAUUCCUGGAAGUGCCUUCUGAUGAAGAUCAUCAAAGGACCUGAGCCCUAGGACCAUGCCUCAGGACUACCUGGCUUGAUGACUCCUUGCUGUCCCCAGUUCACCUGGCCGUGCUGCUGCUCCAGUUCCAACUGUUCUGCCUGCAGCUAUGGAACCCUGACCUGUUCACCGGACGUGCUACCUGUCCCAGACCUGUUGUCCCAGACCUGCUGGAACCCUGACCUAUUCACUGGACGUGCUACCUGUCCCAGACCUGCUGUUUUUAACUCUCUAGAGACAGCAGGAGCGGUAGAGAUACUCUCAAAGAUCGGCUAUGAAAAAGCCAACUGACACUUACUCCUGUGUUACUGACUUGUUGCACCCUCGACAACUACUAUGAUUAUUAUUAUUUGACAAUGCUGGUCAUUUAUGAACAUUUGAACAUUUGAACAUCUAGGCCAUGUGCUGUUAUAAUCUCCACCCGGCACAGCCAGAAGAGGACUGGCCACCCCUCAUAGCCUGGUUCCUCUCUAGGUUUCUUCCUAGGUUUUGGCCUUUCUAGGGAGUUUUUCCUAGCCACCGUGCUUCUACACCUGCAUUGCUUGCUGUUUGGGGUUUUAGGCUGGGUUUCUGUACAGCACUUUGAGAUAUCAACUGUUGUAAGAAGGGCUAUAUAAAUAAAUUUGAUUUGAUUUGAGGUACCCUUUAAAUAAGAAGAAUUAGGCUCCAACACAGAGCCCUCUCCUUAUAAAGUCGAAUUAAAACAAAGAAAGUUUAAAUGAAUCAGGUGUUCUACAAUUAGUCUACUUUUAGCAAUCAUGCACUGUCCAUCUCCGAUGGAUUGUGCCGGGGCUGCUGCUUCAAUGUAGCCAAAUGUAAAUUAUCUGGCUUAUUGUGAGAUCAAUAACUAUGAUAAAUAGCUUCACCAUGGGAAACGAAACAUAUUGUUUUAAUUUUUAAAAACUAUAGCAGUAGCUAACUAUCAGUUUACCUUCUCAUCUUCACGCGUGCCGUCUCAAACUGAACAGGACAUCAGAUUACCGCUUGCACAGAUAUAUUGCAUUUUUUUUACAAAUCAAAAUGCUUCUCUGAGCAUGCACUUCGUAUAGCCUAGGCCUAUAGCCUAGUAUAGGCUAUGGAUCAUUUGAUUAAGACCACACUAAAUAUAGGCGCACUUGAUAUUGUGCGCCCAGCAGAGAAUCAGGGAUGAGUGGCAGCAUCGGGCACAUAUUGAGCUAUAACUAGUGUUGGGGUAUGUUCCUUGUUCCUUGUCAAUCAUUGGCUUGUUGGUGAAAUCAGCAAUCAGACAAUAUCUUCUUUAAGUAAAUCAAUCAAACCUUUAUUCAUGCAAUUGCAGACAGAAGUUGACAAUGGAAACAUAGCACGCGUGUUUCAGAGUAAGUUCUGCAAAAUAAAAAAGGUCAAAGUUACUUUAAUAUGCUGCCAGUCAACCCCUAGUGAUGUAACUGCCUAUGUCAACAUCUUCUACUCAUGAGAACAAGCCCAUGCAUAUACAGUUAUACAAACUGCAGGAGAAAACAGUAGUCCAGUGUGUUCUAAGUGCUCAGCAGUAAUUUUCCAUUCCCGUGUAGCUUACAGUGGUAUGUCUGACUUGUCUCUUAUCUCUUUACUCCCCUGCAGGGUUCUGUGUUUAUGUAUCUCUUUUAGCCUUGAGACGCUUUCUCACAGACAACCUGUUUUGACUGCAAUAGCUCACACAUCUCUCAGACCGUUUCUUAUAAGAGGCAGAGACUAGAAAAGAACUGUGGAACAGUAUUAAAGUUUAUAAUGCAUAUAUUGCUAAUCUGUGGUCCAGGACCCUAUAAAUGUAGUGGGGGAGGGUCUUAUAGCCCUUCCCCUUCUAUUAAUACAACAUAAGCAUAAUCAAUUAUUAUAAUACAUCAAUCAUUUGGUGCAGCCCCUAUCAUGACCCCAAGGUGACCCCCAUCACUAGCAACUAAUUCUAAAACACUGAGCAAUACUGAAAUUGAAAAAGCAUGGCUCUCCUGUUUUUUUCUGGGUCACAGUUCCAAAAAUGGCUUAACAUUUUUUUAUAGACCUACAGUGUAUUGCAUUGGGUGCUAUGGAACAGGGCUGGGAAUUGCCAGGAAACUCACGAUACAAUAUUAUAACGAUACUUAGGUGCCGAUACGAUAUGUAUUGUGAUUCUCACGGUUCUAUAUGUAUUGCGAUUCAAUACUGUGAUUUUAUUGUGAUUAGAUGUUCUAAAAUCCUUCUAUGUAAGAGAUACAUAGAUGAUGUCUGUGUCAGUCGUUGCUAGGAGUGGUGGUAGGAGUCAGGCGCAGAGAGCAGAGGUAAGGAACUGUGUGUUUAUUCAAUAAAAACACAACACGAUCGACGCCAACACAACGGGCGUGAAAAAUGCAAAGUGCCCAAACAACAGGUGCACAGCAUGCAUGAAAAUAGAACAGUAGUAGAUCGCCAGCACAUCCAAAUACAAAACACAACCUGACGCUAAAUAAUCCCGCACAACACUGGGCGGGCUAACCAGGCUUAAAUAACCAAAAUCAAAAGACAAAUGAGGAACAGGUGCAACCAAUAAGACAAACCAAACGAAAAG